CGGCCUGUUUAGGGGUGCUGGCGCUGCGUGCAACGCCGGCUGAGAUGAUACCCAUCGAACCUGAACCGGGUAAUGCCGGCGCAGGGAAAUAAACAAUCUGCGGA
Molecule: non-coding RNA, 104 nt
Organism: Hymenobacter sp.
Lineage: Bacteria; Pseudomonadati; Bacteroidota; Cytophagia; Cytophagales; Hymenobacteraceae
Source: Rfam